This is a long non-coding RNA of Seriola dumerili (greater amberjack), 1215 nucleotides long. RefSeq lists it as uncharacterized. The transcript has 4 exons. Lineage: Eukaryota; Metazoa; Chordata; Actinopteri; Carangiformes; Carangidae. The record is from RefSeq and is a predicted model, not a curated record.
UCUACUUGGACUCUGAGAUCUGGUGGUUGGUAGGAUACAUUUGGUUUGUCUGAGAUUGUUUGCUGGAAAUGGCAGUGGAUCUGUGAGCCUCAACCACUAGGGCUAGAAAUCCAGAGCGUUGCCCUAAAAGCUACAAGGAGCUGCACUAUUGGGUGCGACUUACUAGUACAUCUGAUAAGAGGGUUCUGGCUGACCUCUUGUCUGAUCCUGCGUUGGGUUCCUGGCUGAUGUCCUCUGUGUUCCUUUGUUGGGGUCCUGGUCGAUGUCCUGUCUGAUCCACCUUCAAGAGAGAUCUUACCUUUGCCUGUCUGCCCAGGUUCAGGGCUGCCCUCCAAAAACGGCUCGGCCUCUCUUCGGCCUGUCCUCCUGAGGUCUCCUGCUCUGUCUCCAUCCUCCUCUGCUCCAGCAGCUGUCAGCCAACGGUCUGUCAAGUCUCUGGAUGGCUCUCUGUGAGCACCGUCACAGAUGUAAUGGCCUGAGAGGAGAGGACACGCUUGUUAGUGGUUCAUCAUGAGAGGUCCUGGUGCUCAACAACUGGAAGGUGAUGUGAUCAUUGACAGGGCAGGUGUAUCUGAUGCCCGUGUGAAUUGCUGCUGUCUCCAGGUCGAAACUCAGAGACCUCAGCAUGUCCAGCACACAGCUGAGGAACUCAUGGACAUCUUGCACAGAAACACACAGAACAGAAAGUGUUGGAGGUCAGUGUGAUACUGUGCUGUAUAAUGUAACUAAAAAGGUUUACUAACCUUCUGACCGUUGCCCUUAAACUUUGAGAUAUAUUCAGCAACAGUUUGUUUGAAUCCAGCUAGGGCACAUUUCUUCUGUGCCUUGUUGUCAGUGAAGUGGCAGACUCCAACCUUCACAAUCCCUUUGGAAACAACAAAAGCCAAGAGAAGAUGAUGUUUUUUAAAGUUGCUUUUACUUGAUGUUGAUCUGGAUCAUCAGCGGACAAACCAAAGAGUGAUAGCAUACGUGUGAGUGUGUGUAAGGUGCUGUACCUCUUGAUUUUAGCUUGUGGGUGAGUACGCCACACAUUCUCCUGGUUGUGAACCUCCUGGAUGAAAUGAGGCAGCGUCAGGAGGCCUUGUAGUGUGGAGUUCAUAUAACAAGUCUGUGCCAGGUUGGGGAACCUUAAACACAACAAGACAGAGGACGAAGGACAGAUUGGAGCUUGUUUUCCUCACUGUAUGUUACAGAUGAAGAUUCAUACUAAACUAA